Molecule: ribosomal RNA, 467 nt
Filed under: uncultured bacterium
Lineage: Bacteria
Description: partial 16S ribosomal RNA
Rfam family: Bacterial small subunit ribosomal RNA
Source: RNAcentral
ACGAACGCUGGCGGCGUGCUUAACACAUGCAAGUCGAACGGAAAGGCCCUGCUUUUGUGGGGUGCUCGAGUGGCGAACGGGUGAGUAACACGUGAGUAACCUGCCCUUGACUUUGGGAUAACUUCAGGAAACUGGGGCUAAUACCGGAUAGGAGCUCCUGCUGCAUGGUGGGGGUUGGAAAGUUUCGGCGGUUGGGGAUGGACUCGCGGCUUAUCAGCUUGUUGGUGGGGUAGUGGCUUACCAAGGCUUUGACGGGUAGCCGGCCUGAGAGGGUGACCGGCCACAUUGGGACUGAGAUACGGCCCAGACUCCUACGGGAGGCAGCAGUGGGGAAUAUUGCACAAUGGGCGGAAGCCUGAUGCAGCAACGCCGCGUGCAGGAUGACGGCCUUCGGGUUGUAAACCGCUUUCGCCUGUGACGAAGCGUGAGUGACGGUAAUGGGUAAAGAAGCACCGGCUAACUACGCG